This 691-nucleotide ribosomal RNA is filed under the name Comamonas testosteroni. Its description in RNAcentral is "bacterial SSU rRNA". It matches the Rfam family "Bacterial small subunit ribosomal RNA", at positions 152 to 839 of the family's 1533-position model. Lineage: Bacteria; Pseudomonadati; Pseudomonadota; Betaproteobacteria; Burkholderiales; Comamonadaceae. The record is from RNAcentral.
CGAAAGAGUAGCUAAUACCGCAUGACAUCUACGAAUGAAAGCAGGGGACCUUCGGGCCUUGUGCUACUAGAGCGGCUGAUGGCAGAUUAGGUAGUUGGUGGGGUAAAGGCUUACCAAGCCUGCGAUCUGUAGCUGGUCUGAGAGGACGACCAGCCUAACUGGGACUGAGACACGGCCCACACUAAUACGGGAGGCAGCAGUGGGGAAUUUUGGACAAUGGGCGAAAGCCUGAUCCAGCAAUGCCGCGUGCAGGAUGAAGGCCCUCGGGUUGUAAACUGCUUUUGUACGGAACGAAAAGCCUGGGGCUAAUAUCCCCGGGUCAUGACGGUACCGUAAGAAUAAGCACCGGCUAACUACGUGCCAGCAGCCGCGGUAAUACGUAGGGUGCAAGCGUUAAUCGGAAUUACUGGGCGUAAAGCGUGCGCAGGCGGUUUUGUAAGACAGUGGUGAAAUCCCCGGGCUCAACCUGGGAACUGCCAUUGUGACUGCAAGGCUAGAGUGCGGCAGAGGGGGAUGGAAUUCCGCGUGUAGCAGUGAAAUGCGUAGAUAUGCGGAGGAACACCGAUGGCGAAGGCAAUCCCCUGGGCCUGCACUGACGCUCAUGCACGAAAGCGUGGGGAGCAAACAGGAUUAGAUACCCUGGUAGUCCACGCCCUAAACGAUGUCAACUGGUUGUUGGGUCUUAACUGAC